CGAAAUGCGAUAAGUAAUGCGAAUUGCAGAAUUCAGUGAAUCAUCGAAUCUUUGAACGCACAUUGCGCCCGCUAGUAUUCUGGCGGGCAUGCCUGUCUGAGCGUCAUUUCAACCCUCAUUCCCGGCUUCGUGUCGGGGAUGGUGUUGGGGAUCGGCCUCCCGGUUGCGGGCGGCCGGCCCCGAAAUAGAGUGGCGACCACGCCGUAGCCUCCUCUGCGUAGUAGUGAAAACCUCGCAGGCGGAGAGCGGUGCGGCCUGCCGUAAAACCCCCAACUCUUCUAAGGUUGACCUCAGAUCAGGUAGGAAUACCCGCUGAACUUAAGC
Molecule: unclassified non-coding RNA, 324 nt
Filed under: plant metagenome
Description: partial contains 5.8S ribosomal RNA, internal transcribed spacer 2, and large subunit ribosomal RNA
Rfam family: 5.8S ribosomal RNA (bases 1-106)
Source: RNAcentral